AUACAGAACUGAAAGGUUAACCGUGAUCACGAAGGCGGUUCCUCCGGAGUGAGACCUGGCCAUUGCACCUCGGUUGGGUUGACCUCUGCGAUUAGUCCUAAUGUGAAUAACUCGUGCGUGUCAUUUUUGGGAGCCGGGAACUAUUAGAUAGAACUAUC
Small nuclear RNA from Drosophila bipectinata, 158 nucleotides. RefSeq annotates it as U1 spliceosomal RNA. The record is from RefSeq and is a predicted model, not a curated record. Lineage: Eukaryota; Metazoa; Arthropoda; Insecta; Diptera; Drosophilidae.